GGGACCCUGCCCUCCGCUGGCACCACGUGUGGCCUCCCCGCGCCUUCCUGGGGCCAGCCACAUGGGCCGCGCACUCACCACACACACGUGGGCUCCCGCGAGCGCCCUCUGGGCGGGAGUCCCUGAGGUUGGCACCCUGGGCGGAGGCCCCGGCCCGCACCCACCCACCUUCACGGAGUAGACGAAGGCCACGAAGCCCAGGCAGAACGAGUUCAGGAAGAUGGUGUUGAACAGGGACCAGACGACAUGGUCGGGCACGACCGUCUCCUCCGGGACGUUGAUCACCGUGGUUGUCGCAGGAGCCGUGCUCAGGAGGGCCCCCCGCACGUCCACCUUGUUCUGCAUCAUCUCUCGAGGGGAGGCACAGGCGUGCCCGGGGAAGAAGAGUGCAGGUGGCCAUGUGGCCCCAAGCAGGUGUGGCCGGGAGCUGGGCAGGGCCUGGGGGUAGGUUGGGCUUGGUUUCCUGGUGCUGUGCAGGCUCCGUGGGCGGGGGCUAGGCCGGGCUGCUGAGGCCUGUCACUCACUGUCAUCUGCCUGACUCAUAUCUUAUUGUCCUUGAUCUAUUGUCAAGUCAACGGCCUCACACAAGGUGCUGCUGCACCCACUGGCAGCGGGGGGCCCUGGGCCUCCAGCACAUUCCUGCCGUGCAUUUGCGGGCCUGGCGCUUAGGUGCAGGAUGUGCGUGUGGCACCUGACGUGGGUGCCCUCCGGGUCCGCCGUCGCCGCCCGGGGCCUAUGCCAAGCACCUGGUGGUCGUGGGUCCCCGUGCGCCCCUUGGGGCUGCCCUCCGCGGGGCUGCCGCGUGUCUGCGCAUCUGGGAUUCUCCCUGGGCUCGUGUGCUGCAGCCGCAUCUCAGGCGUCUUAGUGUCUGUGGCUGCUUUGUUCCUCCCUGGGGCCCCGGAGACCCUGUCGUGUGGACGCAGGGCCUGUGUCCUGCAGCGGUGACACGCUGGCACGCAGCUGCUGGCACGCGGGCCGCCAUGGGCGACGCGGGGCACGGCAGUCCUGGGCACCUCACAGCGGCUCUGCGUCCCCUGUGGGCAUCUUCCCUCUGGGCUGCGCCCUCUGUCACCACGGCCGGCCCUCGGUCCUGGGGUUGCAGGGAGGUGACCUGGCCCCGCAGGGCCUCCCGCAGCGCUCAGCUAUUGCCCACGUCCUGGGGUGCCCCGAGUACCCAGGCCCGCUGUGGGGGUGCGUGUGUCACCCGGGAUCGGGUGCCAGCCACCAGGACUGUGGCCUGCCCGCCACACCACUCCCUGCGCCCCGCUGGCCCCGCGGCUGGUGGCCUUGGGCUCCCCUGAGGCCACAGAGGACAGCCUGCUCCGGGCAGACGUCCCAGCACCGGGUCCCUGCCAGCCGGGAGCACCAGGCCCUGUCCUGUCCCUGGUCCCCCACGGGGCAUGGGGCGGGGUCCCGGGAGCUCAGGACUCAGGGGCCUUCGCCAGGUCUCCCGCAGACGCUCGUGUCCCCUUGAUCCACUGCAGCGACGUCCUCCUCAGCGCCGGAUCUUCCACGUCCGCGUAGACGCGGCCUGUCCUCUUACGGACGGCCUGUUGAGAUGAAGCCUCGCGGCUUCCUGGGCCCCGAGCCCCUUCCCUCAGCCCCGCGGCCUUGGACCCGGCUCUUUGGGGUCCUUUCCCGUUGUCCAGGCCACGUCGGACUCUUGCUGGUGCCUGGCGGCUGCUCCUUCCAGAACAUGGGCCGUCUUCCCUCGGGUGCCUCAGCGGUUUCUGGUGGAAACUCGGUCCGCAGGACAUGCGGCAGCAAUUCCGGCUCUGGUUUCCGGUUCCCAGGGUUCGUUCUGCGGAUGAGCUGACCCACAGCUGAGAUUGUGUCUUCCCUGAGUCCCGGCCUGUCCCCCCUUUAUUGCGGGCUGCACCGUUUCUGUAUCUUACCGAUCUGUUGCGUCAGGAUGACCUGGAAGCCCUGCUGAGCAGGAGGUGGUGACCAGGUUGGGGUGCAAGCCGCCGGAGGCUUGAGGCUGGGCCCCCCCAAAGCCUCUGGCAAGGACUGGGCGGCUGUGGGCUGCUGGCGCUGAACGUGGGCACUCACGGCUCACACCCACGGCUCGGCAAGGGCAGCUGAAGCACCGUCGGCGGCCGCCUGGACUCAAGGCCACGGGCCGGACACAGCAGCCUCCCCAAGCGAGCAGGACGAGCCGCGGGCAGGGGCCUCGUCCCCAGGCCGCCAGAUCCUGUCGCCGACAAUGGCCACUUUCGGACUGGAAUUAUCGGGCAAAGAGUCACAAAUCCCCGGCGCACACGCAGAGGGAAGCAUUCGGCCCGGGCUGCUCCCAGGGGCCGGACUUGCUAGAUGAAGUUUUCGGGUGUGAUCAAGAAACCCCAAGAACUGGUGCCCAACAAGUUAGACAAAAUAUGAGAAUAGUGUUCUACUAAGGGAGACUAUAGAGAAGGAGAAAGCACUUUUACAAGAACCAAAUAGAGAUUCUGAAGUUGGGAAGCGCACUCACGAGCUGAGAAAUCACACGGGGCCGGGAGCACAUCUGACCCACGGGAAGAGUCCGUGAGCGAGCACGACGGCAGGUAAUCGGGGUCACCCCGCCUGAAGAAGGCAGACGAAUCGGUUCGGAGGCCUGUGGGAUGCCAACCGCGGGACCACGUGCGUGUGAGGGCCCCAGGCAGGCAUGAGAGAAAGCACAGAACAAGCAUUUGAAGAAAGAAUGGCCGAAAGCUUCCCGGAUUUGAUGGGAAACCUCCCCCCCCCACUAAACCUCACAUCUAAGAAGCGCCAGGAAUUCAAAGAAUGACCCCGAAGAGAUGCGCAUGUAGUCAUAGUCAAACUACCAAAAGUCAAAGACAAAGAAACUCAGGCUCAUCCCAGCAGAAAGUGGCGUCUCACUGGGACGUCGUGUCGCAUGUGACUCAGGAGGCUCAACACCUCCUCGUGUGCUGCUUGCCGGCCCUCGGACACCUUCCCUGGAGACGCGUCUAGCCAGGCCCUUUGUCAUUUUGAACCGGGUCCCCUGUCUUUUUCCCGUAGCCAUAUCUUGUGUGACCCCUUGAGCCCGUGUGUAGGUGCCGUGUCCGUAAGACUUUGUUUCCUCUGGAUCAUCUGACCUGCUGGUAUGCAGCCGUCCUCGGAAUUUCUGUAGUUCUGCUACUGGUGAUUAUACUGUCCCCGCUUUCAUGUCUGAUUUUAGAAAUCUGAGAUUUUUCUCUUCCUACUGCAUCUAACUGAAGGUUUGUCAAUUUUGUUUGUCUUUUCAAAGAAUCCAUUUUUGGUUUUGCCGAUUUUCUUUAUGCCUGCCCUAAGCUGUGUCAUUUCCUUCCUUUGGCUUGCAUUUUACUUUGCCUUUUUUUUUUUUUUUUUCUGGUUUCUCAAGGUGAAAAGCCCCGUAUUGAUUUCACAUCUUUCUCCUCUUUAAGCGACAGUCUCUGCCUGGAGGCGUUCCCUCCGAGUGCUGCUUGCCCUGCCUCCCCAAGUGUUCACACAUUUGGGUUUGGUUUUCACUCAUCUCCAAGCACUUUCUGGUCUAUCUUGUGAUAGACCCUAUUCUUCGGGUCUCUGGUUCCGCGGGGAAUGUCUCUGUUUUCCUUCUGUCACAGAAAUCUAAUUGUAUUUCAUUGGGGUCAGAUAAUAUAUUUUGUACGAUUUCAA
Canis lupus familiaris (dog) is the source of this 3618-nucleotide long non-coding RNA. RefSeq lists it as uncharacterized. The record is from RefSeq and is a predicted model, not a curated record. NCBI's taxonomy places the organism in Eukaryota, Metazoa, Chordata, Mammalia, Carnivora, Canidae. The transcript has 3 exons.